This 252-nucleotide ribosomal RNA is filed under the name uncultured bacterium. RNAcentral's name for it is "partial 16S ribosomal RNA". It matches the Rfam family "Bacterial small subunit ribosomal RNA", at positions 525 to 776 of the family's 1533-position model. The record is from RNAcentral.
ACGGAGGGUGCAAGCGUUAUCCGGAAUCAUUGGGUUUAAAGGGUCCGUAGGCGGAUUGAUAAGUCAGAGGUGAAAUCCCACAGCUUAACUGUGGAACUGCCUUUGAUACUGUUAGUCUUGAGUUACUUGGAAGUAGAUAGAAUGUGUAGUGUAGCGGUGAAAUGCAUAGAUAUUACACAGAAUACCGAUUGCGAAGGCAGUCUACUACGAGUAUACUGACGCUGAUGGACGAAAGCGUGGGGAGCGAACAGG